AUUCUUACACACAAUUUUUACACACUUAAAUAUUACAAGUUAUUUCCUUCAAAUUUAAAGGAUUUGGCGGUAUUUUAGUCCUGUUAGAGGAACCUGUUUUAUAAACGACACACCACGCAAAAUCUUACCUAUUUUUACAGCUUGUAUACCGUCAUUAUUAGAUAACUCCUUCUGAAUGAUUAGUUAUUAAGUUAAACAAUUGUUUUUUAUAUUAGAUCAAGGUGCAGCCUAUAAAUAGGUAUUUUAUGGGUUACAAUAAAACUUAUUUACACGAACUUAAAAUUUAAAUAUUUUAAUAAAGGAGAAUUUAAUAGUAAAUUAAGUUUAAUAAGCUAAUUUGGUAAUGGAUAUAAAUUAAGUACAUAUUGCCCGUCACUUUCAUCUAUAAGUGAAAUAAGUCGUAACAUAG
Molecule: ribosomal RNA, 409 nt
Filed under: Vulcanocalliax arutyunovi
Lineage: Eukaryota; Metazoa; Arthropoda; Malacostraca; Decapoda; Callianassidae
Description: partial small subunit ribosomal RNA
Source: RNAcentral